GAGAAAGACAUAGAGGUUAUGGAGUUGCCUUGAAACCAAUUUUAGGGGGUUCGAAUCCUUCCUUUCUUA
Non-coding RNA from Mesocricetus auratus (golden hamster), 69 nucleotides. NCBI's taxonomy places the organism in Eukaryota, Metazoa, Chordata, Mammalia, Rodentia, Cricetidae. The record is from Rfam.